UAGCCGUAAACGAUACUCGCUAGGUGUCGGCCACGGUGCGACCGUUGUCGGUGCCGUAGGGAAGCCGUGAAGCGAGCCACCUGGGAAGUACGGCCGCAAGGCUGAAACUUAAAGGAAUUGGCGGGGGGGGCACAACAACGGGUGGAGCUUGCGGUUUAAUUGGAUUCAACGCCGGAAAUCUUACCGGGACCGACAGCAACAUGAAGGCCAAGCUGAAGACUUUGCCGGAUUAGCUGAGAGGAGGUGCAUGGCGUAGUCGUGU
RNAcentral lists this ribosomal RNA (262 nucleotides) under uncultured archaeon. Its description in RNAcentral is "partial 16S ribosomal RNA". It matches the Rfam family "Archaeal small subunit ribosomal RNA", at positions 748 to 1009 of the family's 1478-position model. The record is from RNAcentral.